AACGCACAUUGCGCCCUUUGGUAUUCCAAAGGGCAUGCCUGUUCGAGCGUCAUUUGUACCCUCAAGCUUUGCUUGGUGUUGGGCGUCUUUUUGUCUCUCGCGAGACUCGCCUUAAAAUGAUUGGCAGCCGACCUACUGGUUUCGGAGCGCAGCACAAUUCUUGCACUUUGAAUCAGCCCUGGUUGAGCAUCCAUCAAGACCACAUUUUUUUAACUUUUGACCUCGGAUCAGGUAGGGAUACCCGCUGAACUUAA
RNAcentral lists this unclassified non-coding RNA (254 nucleotides) under Pleospora sp. RNAcentral's name for it is "partial contains 5.8S ribosomal RNA, internal transcribed spacer 2, and large subunit ribosomal RNA". The stretch from base 1 to 52 matches the Rfam family "5.8S ribosomal RNA", at positions 103 to 154 of the family's 154-position model. The record is from RNAcentral. RNAcentral also lists the same sequence under 2 other names. Lineage: Eukaryota; Fungi; Ascomycota; Dothideomycetes; Pleosporales; Pleosporaceae.